This 516-nucleotide unclassified non-coding RNA is filed under the name Hevea brasiliensis (rubber tree). The record is from RNAcentral. Lineage: Eukaryota; Viridiplantae; Streptophyta; Magnoliopsida; Malpighiales; Euphorbiaceae.
AACAGGGGGCACCCAGCGCUUAUUGGCCAAAACAGUGAGCUUCACAGCAUCCACAAACUGCUCGACAGUGGGUGAAAUCAUGCACAUCCUCUCUGCACCAAUCCUCAUCCGUAAGGCGUUUUCCUCCGGACGAAAGAGUAGAAUUGAUCCAUCUUCUUUCCUGUAUGCUUUUAAGCCUUCGAACAAUCCCUGUCCAUAGUUUAGUACUCCAGAAGAUGGGUUCAGCUGGAUUGGUCCAAAACGCUGCAGUUCACCUUUGGAAAAUGUCCCGUUUUGAGGACAUUUCAUCAUGUACAUAUAAUCAGUCGGGACCAGUCCAAAUCCAAGAGAGUCCCAAUUUAUAUCAGCCAACUCAUAGGUCGCCUCUGCCUCCCUGCAAGUAGUUUCUUCAACAGCUUUACACCGUAUGCUUGAAGCCGCCAUAACAAGGGGAGGCGUGGGAUGAAACUGACUUUGAAUUUUGAGAAAUGUUGAUGGCGAGUGGAUCAUGGAUCUUGAGAAGGAGAUCGGGUGGAG